RNAcentral lists this ribosomal RNA (582 nucleotides) under Trichoderma sp. PPRI 14669. RNAcentral describes it as "eukaryotic LSU rRNA". Lineage: Eukaryota; Fungi; Ascomycota; Sordariomycetes; Hypocreales; Hypocreaceae. The record is from RNAcentral.
CCCUCACUCCCAACCCAAUGUGAACGUUACCAAACUGUUGCCUCGGCGGGAUCUCUGCCCCGGGUGCGUCGCAGCCCCGGACCAAGGCGCCCGCCGGAGGACCAACCAAAACUCUUAUUGUAUACCCCCUCGCGGGUUUUUUUAUAAUCUGAGCCUUCUCGGCGCCUCUCGUAGGCGUUUCGAAAAUGAAUCAAAACUUUCAACAACGGAUCUCUUGGUUCUGGCAUCGAUGAAGAACGCAGCGAAAUGCGAUAAGUAAUGUGAAUUGCAGAAUUCAGUGAAUCAUCGAAUCUUUGAACGCACAUUGCGCCCGCCAGUAUUCUGGCGGGCAUGCCUGUCCGAGCGUCAUUUCAACCCUCGAACCCCUCCGGGGGGUCGGCGUUGGGGAUCGGCCCUGCCUUGGCGGUGGCCGUCUCCGAAAUACAGUGGCGGUCUCGCCGCAGCCUCUCCUGCGCAGUAGUUUGCACACUCGCAUCGGGAGCGCGGCGCGUCCACAGCCGUUAAACACCCAACUUCUGAAAUGUUGACCUCGGAUCAGGUAGGAAUACCCGCUGAACUUAAGCAUAUCAAUAAGSGRAGGAA